AUUGAACGCUGGCGGAGUGCUUUACACAUGCAAGUCGAACGGCAGCACGGGGGCAACCCUGGUGGCGAGUGGCGAACGGGUGAGUAAUGCAUCGGAACGUACCCAAUCGUGGGGGAUAACUGGCCGAAAGGUCAGCUAAUACCGCAUACGUCCUGAGGGAGAAAACAGGGGAUCGCAAGACCUUGCGCGAUUGGAGCGGCCGAUGUCUGAUUAGCUAGUUGGUGGGUAAGAGCCUACCAAGGCGACGAUCAGUAGCUGGUCUGAGAGGAUGAUCAGCCACACUGGGACUGAGACACGGCCCAGACUCCUACGGGAGGCAGCAGUGGGGAAUUUUGGACAAUGGGCGCAAGCCUGAUCCAGCCAUUCCGCGUGAGUGAAGAAGGCCUCGGUUGUAAGUACGUCUUCGGUCAGGAAGAAACGGUACGUGUGUU
RNAcentral lists this ribosomal RNA (431 nucleotides) under uncultured bacterium. Its description in RNAcentral is "bacterial SSU rRNA". It matches the Rfam family "Bacterial small subunit ribosomal RNA", at positions 30 to 463 of the family's 1533-position model. The record is from RNAcentral.